RNAcentral lists this unclassified non-coding RNA (229 nucleotides) under plant metagenome. RNAcentral describes it as "partial contains small subunit ribosomal RNA, internal transcribed spacer 1, and 5.8S ribosomal RNA". The record is from RNAcentral.
UCUCCGUAGGUGAACCUGCGGAGGGAUCAUUACAGAGUUCAUGCCCUAACGGGUAGAUCUCCCACCCUAUGUUAUCAUCACUUUGUUGCUUUGGCGGGCCGUCAGGCCUCGGCUUGGCUACCGGCUCUCGCUGGUAAGCGCCCGCCAGAGAACCCCAGACCCUGAAUAUCAGUGUCGUCUGAGUACUAUAUAAUAGUUAAAACUUUCAACAACGGAUCUCUUGGUUCUG